GACGAACGCUGGCGGCGUGCUUAACACAUGCAAGUCGAACGGUAAGGCCCUUCGGGGUACGACGAGUGGCGAACGGGUGGAGUAACACGUGGGUGAUCUGCCCUGCACUUCGGGAUAAGCCUGGGAAACUGGGUCUAAUACCGGAUAGGACUCCUGGCUUCAUGGUUGGGGGUGUAAAGCUUUUGCGGUGUGGGAUGGGCCCGCGGCCUAUCAGCUUGUUGGUGGGGUAAUGGCCUACCAAGGCGACGACGGGUAGCCGGCCUGAGAGGGUGACCGGCCACACUGGGACUGAGAUACGGCCCAGACUCCUACGGGAGGCAGCAGUGGGGAAUAUUGCACAAUGGGCGCAAGCCUGAUGCAGCGACGCCGCGUGAGGGAUGACGGCCUUCGGGUUGUAAACCUCUUUCAAUAGGGACGAAGCGCAAGUGACGGUACCUAUAGAAGAAGGACCGGCCAACUACGUGCCAGCAG
Molecule: ribosomal RNA, 471 nt
Filed under: uncultured bacterium
Lineage: Bacteria
Description: bacterial SSU rRNA
Rfam family: Bacterial small subunit ribosomal RNA
Source: RNAcentral